RNAcentral lists this ribosomal RNA (460 nucleotides) under uncultured bacterium. RNAcentral's name for it is "partial 16S ribosomal RNA". It matches the Rfam family "Bacterial small subunit ribosomal RNA", at positions 338 to 795 of the family's 1533-position model. The record is from RNAcentral.
CCUACGGGAGGCAGCAGUGAGGAAUAUUGGUCAAUGGGCGCGAGACUGAACCAGCCAAGUAGCGUGAAGGAUGACUGCACUACGGGUUGUAAACUUCUUUUAUAAAGGAAUAAAGUGAGGCACGUGUGCCUUUUUGUAUGUACUUUAUGAAUAAGGAUCGGCUAACUACGUGCCAGCAGCCGCGGUAAUACGGAGGAUCCGAGCGUUAUCCGGAUUUAUUGGGUUUAAAGGGAGCGUAGAUGGGUUGUUAAGUCAGUUGUGAAAGUUUGCGGCUCAACCGUAAAAUUGCAAUUGAUACUGUCAGUCUUGAGUACAGUUGAGGUAGGCGGAAUUCGUGGUGUAGCGGUGAAAUGCUUAGAUAUCACGAAGAACUCCGAUUGCGAAGGCAGCUUACUAAACUGCCACUGACAUUGAUGCUCGAAAGUGUGGGUAUCAAACAGGAUUAGAUACCCCUGUAGUC